GCGCUAGUGGUUCAAUGGUAGAAUACUCGCCUGUUACGCGGGUGACCCGAAUUCGUAUCCCGGCCAAUGCA
Parelaphostrongylus tenuis is the source of this 71-nucleotide non-coding RNA. The record is from the annotation of a GenBank genome assembly. Lineage: Eukaryota; Metazoa; Nematoda; Chromadorea; Rhabditida; Metastrongylidae.